AUGGCGGUCAGACGUGUGGAGGGGACAAUAGGACACCAUUGUUGUCACUUAUAUGCAUCACCACAGGAAAGGAGAGCACCAUGUGUUGCAGCAACUUUAGACACGACGUUCGAUUGGAGAGGAACAGGAGAUGGGAACAAAUCGAUGAACGAUACACAGUACACCUUACUCGCGUUCCCUCGACCAGCCGCGUCUCCACCACGCAGCCGGAAGCCGCAUGCUACUCAAAGAGAGAGGACCAAGGAGAGAGAUGGUUCAAGGUGGCGGUGGAGGCGGCAGUGGGAUGCGACAGAGUGUGGAUGCGGUGGGUGGCGGCGGCGGAUGGGGCAGGGAGCAAUGACAAUGGUUGGGGCGUAG
RNAcentral lists this ribosomal RNA (357 nucleotides) under Triticum aestivum (bread wheat). Its description in RNAcentral is "partial small subunit ribosomal RNA". The record is from RNAcentral. Lineage: Eukaryota; Viridiplantae; Streptophyta; Magnoliopsida; Poales; Poaceae.